This 258-nucleotide ribosomal RNA is filed under the name uncultured bacterium. RNAcentral's name for it is "partial 16S ribosomal RNA". It matches the Rfam family "Bacterial small subunit ribosomal RNA", at positions 99 to 353 of the family's 1533-position model. The record is from RNAcentral.
CGAACGGGUGAGUAACGCGUGAGGAACCUGCCUCAAAGAGGGGGACAACAGUUGGAAACGACUGCUAAUACCGCAUAAGCCCACGGUGCCGCAUGGCACAGAGGGAAAAGGAGCAAUCCGCUUUGAGAUGGCCUCGCGUCCGAUUAGCUAGUUGGUGAGGUAACGGCCCACCAAGGCAACGAUCGGUAGCCGGACUGAGAGGGUGAUCGGCCACAUUGGAACUGAGACACGGUCCAAACUCCUACGGGAGGCAGCAUG